Molecule: long non-coding RNA, 596 nt
Filed under: Cricetulus griseus (Chinese hamster)
Lineage: Eukaryota; Metazoa; Chordata; Mammalia; Rodentia; Cricetidae
Description: lncRNA (ENSCGRG00015036540.1)
Source: RNAcentral
AAGAAGGUUAAAACUCGAGCUGAAUUUGAUUUGUUGAAGAACUCAAAUCCUCGGGAUUACAGCAAGAAGAAAGAGAAAUGCUGGUCUUCGGGCAUGUCUCUGAAGGAUUGUCUUAAUUAGCUUACUUGAUGGGAGAGAAGACCUAGCCCACUGUGGGGAGCACCACCCCUAGGCUGGAUCCUGGAUUAUGCAAGAGUGGAGAAAGCAAUCAGGUGAUUGGCAGAAUGCCUGGGCUCCUGGGUAUCAGCGUUCUAUGUCAACUGCGAUCCUAAAUAUCCGACUUGACUCUAGUGUUGACCAGAUGACCUUCCACUGAGGCCUGCCCAGCACUUAUCAAUUAUAUUCGAUUUGAUUUCAAUUGCUAUGUUUCUCCGUCUGCAGAAUCCUGUGGGUGAAUUGGUAAUUGUUUCUAUUAAAGCAAGGCAUGAUCACUUCUCGUCCAGCGGGUGGAUGGGACCAUACAUUCGUCCAUCUUGUAAGAGUGCAGAAAUGACCACUGACUCUAAUCUGUAAAGAAAUCACCAUUGCAGAAGCCACAGUAUGUGUUCUUGUUAUUCCCGUUCUCUUCUGAUGUUUUCAUUAUAUGGAUUUAUUUU